GUGUGAACUGCUUUCCAGUCUGGGAAACGUGUGGAAUCUCUGUUCCCAGUGUUCUGGUGGCGAGUCCAUUUCCAUGUACCACGCAGGGCACUAGGUCAGAAUACCUUCAGAGCCAAUAACUUUGAUCAAGUAAAACGACAACCCUCCGUCAUGCAUGUUUUUCAACGAUUCGCUUACUCACGCAACAAGUUAUUUACCACCAACCCACUAUGUGACUGGGGAUAUCACAGGAUCAGGAGUACGGGAAGGAAGAAGACGAACAAAAAUGCCUGCCCCUGUGGAGUUCAGGUUCUACUAUGGAGAGACGGGCAGCAUAUAAAAAGUAAAACGGGGGUGCCUGGGUCGCUCAGUCGGUUGAGCGUCUGACUCCAGCUCAGGUCGUGAUCUCACAGUUCGUGGGUUCAAGCCCCACGUCGGGCC
Herpailurus yagouaroundi (jaguarundi) is the source of this 420-nucleotide long non-coding RNA. RefSeq lists it as uncharacterized. The transcript has 3 exons. Lineage: Eukaryota; Metazoa; Chordata; Mammalia; Carnivora; Felidae. The record is from RefSeq and is a predicted model, not a curated record.